GUAUUUCUCUCUCACAUUGGAUAAGAAUAGGAUUGAACAUUCAACUAUUAAAGAAAACGGAUUUCAAGCGCCAUAAUAAUCUGUCAAAGAAAAUAAGAUGUGUGACCUCUGGAAGGACAGAGCUGUUUGGAAACCAAAUGCAUGCAGCUGGAUCUCUGAGACUGAAUGUACUGCAGCACAUCUGGAUGAUACAAAGCAAUCCAGGGCCUCCAUUACGGUCCUUGAUCUGUAUUUAAUUCAUUUAUUUCUGAUAGCCUGACUGAUUGUGAAAUAUUGAUCAGUGUUGAAUCAAUAACUGUGGGUAACUGGUAGGAAAAUAAACAACUUGCCGUCUUCUUAAACUCACUAAGCUUUGAGUUUCAGGUAUCCAUGUGAUCACCAGAGUAUUGAUUGUCUACAUAUGAGGGUCCUUGACUGAGUUUCCAUAGGGUUAAGAAUUCAACAUACCACCAUUAAACACAGUCAAGGGCUUUUCACACUUGAAAUGGUCUCUUCUUCAUUUCAGUUCAUGUGUUUUAUGUCACCUGUGACCUUUCACUCCAGUUUUUUAACCCUGAUACCCAAAUACAGGUCCUUUAUCUUGGUUUAAGGAAGGUGUUUCAUUGCUAUAUGUUCUUAGUUCCCCUUUGUUGACCAAUUAAAUGUACGAGCUGUCGACAGAAUAUGGGAUAAGUCUGACUCAGAUGAGAUUACACAGGACUGGUCUGUAUCGUUUACCACUCUGUCAACAGCUUGGUACUUCAUGUUUACUGGGGGACAAAUCUAUGUCAAAGGUCACAGGACCCUCUGUUGACCUGUUGAACAGAUGGAAGCUUUUAGUUUCCCAGGCUGUCAGGGAUCCCUCUCCAAGUGUGGGAAAGACUUGAGUCUUCACAUUACAACAUGGCUCUUAAACACACACACACACACACACACACAUUUUACCACCCCUAAGGAAGGAAGCAUUAUGCCUUGGUGAGGCACUGAACUUAGUAAACAAAUUACAGUAAAUUAAAAGUUCUAAAAUAAAUUGGUGAUAUAUUAAAAUUCAUUGGCAAAACUGUAAGUGCUGUACAUUUGUAAAAUUGAUUUCUCCUAUAUUUAGUCAGUAUAUGCGGAUGCUUCACUUCAGUAAAAUUUUAAUUGUUUUUUUAUUUAUUAAUAUAAUUAGAUAUAUGUUUCAUUAAUUUAAGAGCAAGUAGUAUAAUAAUAAUAAUAAUCUACCUAGUUCCAUCAAAGUUUUGUAAGGUCUUCCAUUUUAAUUUGACCUUUGAACUCAUAACGGUGACCUCUGACCCGGAGAGAGCAGACCUGUCCAGACUCUGGAGGAUGGAAUUAAUAAGAUCAUUCAGUGAAUUACAUAAAACGAAGAGUGGGACAGGUAGAAAUGGAUCCAUCAUCUCAGUCAUGGCCAUUGUUUUAGUAUGAUGACAGGACUUUGCCUUUUUGAGCUAUAGUGGUCAUCCAAUGAGAAUUGAUCUGAAUAGAAUCAAUUACUUGGUGAAAUUGUUCCAGGAUCUUUAUAUUAAUAAACGAAUGGGGCUUUGAGCUCCAGAUUUCUUUGAAAAAGAAUAUAUGCUUUACCUUUUACAUCUGAAUGACAGAGUUUGUGCUGUUAUAUAUGGGGAAAUUAAAAUACUGUCAUUGGAAAUGACAUGUGUAGUGUCCAUAUUUCACCUCCGUGGACCAUGCAAUAGUUAUGUAUUAUUUACUACUAUUAUAUUUAUCAUGAACAAUUAAAUGUAUUAUUAUUUUAGCAUGUCUCUAACAGUUGUCUUUAAA
Molecule: long non-coding RNA, 1761 nt
Organism: Carassius auratus (goldfish)
Lineage: Eukaryota; Metazoa; Chordata; Actinopteri; Cypriniformes; Cyprinidae
Exons: 3
Source: RefSeq, a predicted model, not a curated record